Culex pipiens pallens (northern house mosquito) is the source of this 3003-nucleotide long non-coding RNA. RefSeq lists it as uncharacterized. The record is from RefSeq and is a predicted model, not a curated record. The transcript is spliced from 3 exons. Lineage: Eukaryota; Metazoa; Arthropoda; Insecta; Diptera; Culicidae.
UAAACAAUUAAACAAUUAAACAAUUAAACAAUUAAGCAAUUGGUUUGAGUCAUGUCUAUCUUCCACCUCCCUGAUAGAUGAAUGUGAUGAUUGACUGAAACAAGCACGCACGCAUACAUCAACUCAUCACCGACUUGUUAGAUGCAACUGCGCGUGAGUGUAUGGUGUUUGCUAAAUAAAAUUGAAAGCUUUUCUUGUAAUGGUAUGUGUGAACUACAAAGUUUGUUUUGAGCGUGAGGGAUUUCCGUACGAUUUGAGCGUUGUCCCGUUCAAUUCGACUCGGGAAGGCCACCCUCACGGAUUUCUCGUUUGCGUGUACAUUUGAAACGCAGUCGCGCUGCAAAACCUCAAUUCGGAUGAGAAAAAUUAUGUCCAACAGUUUGGUGUAUAACUUUCCAAUAUUUGUUUGAUUUUACGAUGAGAAAAUUGUAAAUUUAGUAAAAGAUAGUAAUUUGAACUAUUUGACAAGAAAGUCUGUCAAAAAUCAAUAAAAAUUGUUGAAUAUACGUUAACACACUUGUUAUCAACUAUAUAACUAUUUAUUUCAUUGAUAUAUAUCGGGAAGCUCAUUUUUUCGUGUUCCAAAACAUGUUUUUUAAAGAAAAAGUUCACAAAUUUUUGCGCGCCCAAAAAUUGAUCAUUAUUUUGAAGCAAUAAAUUUUUCUCGUCUUUUGCAACCAGUUUCAUGAAGAUUGAUGCAGGAAAUCAUGAGAAAUAAUCGAUUUUGUUCUUUGAUCGGCAGAAAGGCAUACGAUUUUAGGAUUCAAGAUUAAAAGUUUAACUCAGAUUCUAUUGGUACGUUCGUUUGAACAGCCGGUGCGGCACUGAGUGCCGCACUCGUCGGUGUCAGUUUUGGUUCAAUCGAACGUCAUUUGUCAGUGUGCGUGGAACUCGCAUGAAACUGAAAAAAUAUCGAGUGCUGCACUAGAGUUUCAGUUCCAAGAUGGCGGCGAAACUCGUGCGGAACUAGCGCGAGUUUUUUUUCAAAGAAUCACUUUGACAGCUCUGAGUGCGGCAAUCAGUGUGGAACUAACCAUCAAACGAACGUAUGUGCCCUGGCAGGACAUUCGCUACCUGCCGCAGGCGCUGUGCGUCGAGCCGGCCUUCUACGUUGAUGCACGUGCAACCGUUCAAGCAGCACGGCUACCGGUGCACCGCGGUGGACGGACGAAGCCAAGCAGUACUUUAACCGGACGGCCAGCGUGUUGUACGUUUUUAAGCGUUUGUCGGGGACCGACUGCUGGAGGAGAGCUCCUACGAGAUUGUCAUGAAGCGGCACGACAUUUGCGUCAACGGGUCGAUGGUGAAGGAGGGAUUCGCCGUGUCGAGUGGGUCCGAAUCGGCGGUCGUCGAGCGCAUCAAGGAGGUCAUUAAGGAGGUCAUUCCGGAGGAAGAUGAUGAGGGGACGGUUGUGGUUGUGAGGGUGGCGUGGGUUGGUCCCAUUGAAAAUUAUCAGACGUGGAGUUCGUCGGCUUUUGACACGUUCAAGGUAACGUGCGACAAGUUCAAGCGCUUAUCCAUCUCGCUGCACGGACCCAGCGUUCACGGCGCCAUCCCUGUCACCUGUCAUCAUGUAGGGCAUGACCGAGUAAAAUGUCAAGGCGUCGUCUCCGGCUUGGUCAGUACGGCUAAGUCCACCUCAAGGAGAAGUUUAAGCCCCUGGCGGAGACGGCCUCCGUCGAAGAAGAACUCCAGCGUUACCAUCAAUCCUUUGACAAGAAGGAUUGACGUGGACGUGGACAUGAAGGAUGAAAAACCUGAUCUACAGCAGUAGGAAGACGACAGCGCCACCGACAAGUUCUACUCGGACAACGAACCGUGCAUAGCCAAGUUCCACCAGGACAACAAGUUCUACCGCGCGAUCGUCCGCAAAGCCAUCAGCUGUCGCCGCUACAAGGUCCAGUUCAUCGACUACGGCAACAUCGAAGAGGUGGAUAUUGCAGAUUUGCGCAAGAACGUCAACUGCGGGCGCGUCCCCAUCCAGAUGAACAGCUACCGCCUCACGAACGUCGCCCCAAAGAAGGCAACACCUGGCCGACGGAAGUCCUCGACACGCUGCAUUCACUAAUCGUUGACAACCAGUGCCAAAUCCGCGUCGACAUGGACGCGGACGCGGCCGGCGUUGUUUUCCUAGAGUGCGGGAACGCGAUUCGCGUGAGCACCGAACCAUCCCGUCCAGUCGAAUGAGGUGUUUGAUUCAAUCUGCGAUGAUGAGUAGACCGACGCGAUCAAAACGACAGACGACGCCAACGACAAGGAAUACCCGGUAGCUUCGGAGAACUUAUCCGAUGCGGGACAAUUCGGGAGCAAGGCAGACUGGGGACACUACAAGCAGUUUUUAAGUGCCGUUGGCGAGACCAGAACUAAGACAGAAGUGCUAGAGCUCACUUACGGAACGUCGCAAGGUACUUGCUUGUGGCGCUCUCGUUCCAUCGUAGGAUCUUAAACCACCGAGCAUGCCAGCGCAACUCAACCUGUAAACGAACAUGCCCCUUUUGCUGAGCUUGCUCCGGUCAGAGUUCACGGCAGGAUAAAGCUGACGGCGUAUUUCAACCUGAUGACGUACACGUUGAUGGACCACACCUCCGCGUCUUCUGGGAGCUAUCAACCCGUAGCCCUUAGAAUCGUCCGUUCCGACGCGACCACAACAAGCAGUCGCUGCUGGAAUCUGGUACCUGGUCAUUAUUGACUGCCCUGAACACGCGCGCUUCGGGGGCAACCUUCGGGAAGUUAAUUACUUAGUUGCCCGAAACCAAACCAGGUGUUCGACUUUCUGGACCCAACAGUACCGACUAUGACAACCGGAGCCAUGCUGCCGUGGGCUGCGGAUGUGCUGCCAGCACAGUAGAUUCCUUCCGCGUCAAAUGGCCGUCCCCACCAGAAUCUGCACUGUGCCUUUCAUCAAACCAUCCGGCGACGAACCAGGUGGCUCAACUUCGAAAGCGUAUUGGAGGCGUGCGUCUCGUGAUUAGUUCAAAAUUCUAGCACUAAUGUUUUUUUUUC